GCAACCAAACAAGCCCGAAGAUGCCGCUUCGCACAUCACCGCCAUUAGCAAACCACUGGCACUUUGAAUCCUUGUGGGUGGCCCUUCUCCCUUCUCAAUGUGUGGUACUCACGUUCCUUCUACCAGCGAUAAAUCACACGCAGUUUGGGACCAAGCACACACAAUCAGGUGGGUCAGGAAUUUAAUGAGAAGACACUUAUAUGAACAUCGUUGCUAUUGACUUGCAAGCAGCUUGUUUUGCAUCACAAGUGAGCUUUUUUCACACAGGCUUGCGUGAGCUACGCACACUUGGGGAGGAGGAGGAUUAGGGGAGCGCGACGAAGAUGAGGGUGAAGACACUGGCGUGCUGCCGGCGGCCGCCGCACGGCUUGAGCAUCGACAUGGACCAAGAGCCGGACAAUAAGCCUGCCCGAGAUCUUCCCCAUUUCUUCUUGCUUCAGUUCCUUUGUUUUUGGUCAGAUUCUGUGAUUUGUUCAUGUGUGUUCUUGGUUCCCUGUGCCGGAUGUACCUUAUCGUUUGAUUAUGCAGUUUGUGCUCCUAAUUUGGUUGUGUUCAGAGACGUCCAGCUAUGCAGUUGUUACUCUUUCAGAUUUUGUUACAAUUUCAAGGUUCAGAAGUUGUUCGGGCUAAUACUGACAGUGGGUAUCUUGGUCAGCCUGUGGUGGAUACCUUCUAGGGAGCUGAGGUGUUGGCCAGCUGCUUCUGUUUUGCUGACCCGGUGAUGCCGUCUCACUUGUUCGUGCUCCUGCUCACCAAUACAUGAAACGGCGGCGGGAGGCCUAGAGCGCUGAUGGAGACCAGAUGAAGGUGGCGAUGGGAGCCCCAGAGCACUGAUGGAGACCAGAUAAAGCCGGUGGUGAAGCCCGGCGUGCGUGGGGACGGGGUUUGGGCAAAAUUAGGAUCAGGGUCGUGUAUGUGAUGUAAUGGCAAGGCCCGACGACCAUAUAAGAGGUUCAGUUUUAACGAAAACUUAAGAUCUGAAGUAUUGUCUCUAGCUUCAUAUUUUGUUAACUUGAUUUGAGGAAUAAAAUAGAUAUUGGAUGUGAGAUUUAGAAACAACGGGCACUUUGCUAGUUACUAUUAAAGUAUGAGUGAGUUAUCCA
Phragmites australis (common reed) is the source of this 1103-nucleotide long non-coding RNA. RefSeq lists it as uncharacterized. The record is from RefSeq and is a predicted model, not a curated record. Lineage: Eukaryota; Viridiplantae; Streptophyta; Magnoliopsida; Poales; Poaceae. The transcript has 5 exons.